This 555-nucleotide long non-coding RNA is filed under the name Daphnia magna. RNAcentral describes it as "uncharacterized LOC123470356". The record is from RNAcentral. Lineage: Eukaryota; Metazoa; Arthropoda; Branchiopoda; Diplostraca; Daphniidae.
CAUAUUGAAAUCUGGCAAUAUCACACAAAACGAAGUGUAGGGGGGCGUUUUUCCUUCUGAAGUUUAGUAUUAUUUUUACCGUGAAACAGUGCAGAUGGUGCCGGUUAUAAAGGAUUUAUAUGUGAUCUAGUAUCAUGUGGGCCAUUAACUGAAAAAGAAGUGUUAAAAAUUUUGCCCGGAGCCAUCGGUAGGAAGCCAUAUAUUGCUACAUGAACCUCAGUUAAUCAGUGUUCAAACCUCAGUUACGCCAAGGCGUGUGAGGAUACGACGGAGGGAAAGGAUGACUUCAGCUCUUUUACAAUUUCUUCUAGGAGAUCCAUUGUUGAUAACUGAAACAAAAUAUGGAAUUCUUCAGUUGGGUGUCCUUCUUCCGGUGAGCUUUGAUCUUGUCAUGGCAGAGUAGCGUGCUGGUAAGGGAAACGUCUUCGGCCAGUUUCCGCAAUACCAUCGUCAUCUUGUAGAAUUUUAGAUUUGAUCCGCCUGCCAACUACACACAUAGUGAUUAUUAUGUAUUCAAUAUGUAUGAUUGUACAAAUUAAAUUACCUUGUUCCAUU